Non-coding RNA from Tribolium castaneum (red flour beetle), 164 nucleotides. The record is from RefSeq and is marked provisional. Lineage: Eukaryota; Metazoa; Arthropoda; Insecta; Coleoptera; Tenebrionidae.
GAAACCUGCCAGGGGUAAGUCAUGAUUUUCGUCAAGAUUUUGGUUUUGUUUGUUGGCAUGAUUGAUUUAGCUCAUGUUGAAUUGGUUCAUGAGUUGAUCAAGUAGGCCGAGAAACGGAGCCACCUCCGAAUUUUGUGUUUUAUUUUUCUUAUCUUUGAAGUGGA